This is a long non-coding RNA of Stegodyphus dumicola, 372 nucleotides long. The record is from RefSeq and is a predicted model, not a curated record. NCBI's taxonomy places the organism in Eukaryota, Metazoa, Arthropoda, Arachnida, Araneae, Eresidae.
AUAUAAUUUUUCCAGGAAAAGAAGUGGAGACAAUUUACCUCUUCGAGAGGUCGAGGAUAGAUGCACAGUAUCAGUUGAAUGCCAUGGUCUUCCAUCAAAAAUAAUGAAGAAGUGAUUUUUUUUAAUGCAACAAUGUGCUUCCAGUGGCAUUUUGAACAAUGCUGAGUGACAAAAUUUAAGGGAUGGUAUGGAUAUUCAACUAUGUAUGCAGACGGGAAAAAAAUGUAUAUGGAAAGAAGAAAUGCUGUUCAAACUUUAAAUAGUACAUGUUUGUAUAUGUAUAAUGUAUUUCACUACACUGCUCUUAAGAAUUUUUUAAUGUAUAUUAAAUUGUUAUGGAAUGUAAAUUAGAAUAAAGUUGUAUGAUGAUAU